UUGACUUAUUUGUAUAAAGACUCAGAGAGACCGUUAAUAAACAAGAGUUAGAUGUCCUCCGGCGGGCGCCCCGCAAGCGGAGCAGAGGCCUAAGCCAACCGCCGAAGCAACGAUACGGGGUACGUUCACAAUGGUUUGUGGGAGUUUUGCAACUCAUUAAUGAUCCCUCCGCUGGUUCACCAACGGAGA
Molecule: unclassified non-coding RNA, 189 nt
Filed under: uncultured fungus
Lineage: Eukaryota; Fungi
Description: sequence contains ITS1
Source: RNAcentral